This 471-nucleotide ribosomal RNA is filed under the name Bacillus pumilus. RNAcentral describes it as "bacterial SSU rRNA". It matches the Rfam family "Bacterial small subunit ribosomal RNA", at positions 22 to 476 of the family's 1533-position model. The record is from RNAcentral. Lineage: Bacteria; Bacillati; Bacillota; Bacilli; Caryophanales; Bacillaceae.
GCUCAGGACGAACGCUGGCGGCGUGCCUAAUACAUGCAAGUCGAGCGAACAGAAGGGAGCUUGCUCCCGGAUGUUAGCGGCGGACGGGUGAGUAACACGUGGGUAACCUGCCUGUAAGACUGGGAUAACUCCGGGAAACCGGAGCUAAUACCGGAUAGUUCCUUGAACCGCAUGGUUCAAGGAUGAAAGACGGUUUCGGCUGUCACUUACAGAUGGACCCGCGGCGCAUUAGCUAGUUGGUGGGGUAAUGGCUCACCAAGGCGACGAUGCGUAGCCGACCUGAGAGGGUGAUCGGCCACACUGGGACUGAGACACGGCCCAGACUCCUACGGGAGGCAGCAGUAGGGAAUCUUCCGCAAUGGACGAAAGUCUGACGGAGCAACGCCGCGUGAGUGAUGAAGGUUUUCGGAUCGUAAAGCUCUGUUGUUAGGGAAGAACAAGUGCGAGAGUAACUGCUCGCACCUUGACGGU